This is a long non-coding RNA of Mus musculus (house mouse), 3470 nucleotides long. RefSeq annotates it as predicted gene, 45989. The transcript is spliced from 4 exons. Lineage: Eukaryota; Metazoa; Chordata; Mammalia; Rodentia; Muridae. The record is from RefSeq and is a predicted model, not a curated record.
CCGCUUUUUUUCUUUUUCCAGUUCACAUCUGAGGAUUCCACACUGUAACCCGGAAAUGAAAAGGAGAAAAUGGGACAGAUCAAAGAGCAUCUUUACCGAGCCAAGGCGUUAUAAUUCAGUAAUGGCAAUCUAAUGGGAGGCUGGCAAAAGCAAACUCAAGCAGAGAUCAGUGUCAAAAAGAUUCAACACUUCAACAGUCCGAGUGCAUGCCAGGGACUCACAAACUGUAGCGUGUGGCACGAGCCCCUGGCGGUGCUGUCAACAACACAGCAGGACUCCUUCCUGAAGUUUCUGAGGUGGUAAAUCUGGAGUUGGGGCUUGCCAGUGAGCAUCUCUCACAGGAUCACAGUGGUUCCAAGCUUGGCUGCAGAGUGGUAUCAUCAGGGAGCUUUACAAAGCUGGAGUGAUGCAGGGAUGCACAUCUAAUGCCAAUCCUUAGAUUCUCCAGCGAGAUGGCUUAGUACAGAUGCUCAUUGCUAAGCUUGACAACCUGAGUUCAAUCCCUGGGGCUACAAGGUGAACGGAGAGAACCAACUCCUAUCACUGCGGCUCUCACCCCUCAUCAUGGAAGCUCCUUUUGCAGCUGACAGAGACUACUGUCAUAAUUGGUCAAACUGCAGAGACAACUGAUUGUAGGUUGCCCAGCUGCAAAUGAUCCACCUACAACACACCUCCUCUACCUAAGGCUCAGGGGACACCGAAGAAGGAGCAGAAAUUGUCCAAAUAAGCUACAGGACCAAAAAGUCUGCCAUGAGAUUGUGUCUCCUAGAAAUCACAGACCUUGAAUUCCUUUUUGAGGCUUCUCUCUUUAGGACUCAGCUCAUGGCCCCAUACAAAGGGAGCAAGAAGGUCUUACAAAGGGAGCAAGAAGGUCUUGAGACCCCUCCCAAACCCACACAGCCAAGGGUAAAGCAGGGAUGUCUCUAUGGAUGCCCAGAUUGCACCAACAGACUCUCUAAAAUGGCUUCCAAGGGAGCAGCCCAGUUCCCCAGAAGUCUCUGGUGGUAUUGUAGGGCUCUGGUGUUGGGGACAGAGAAGCGGUGUGUUCUAUGGCAGAUAUAUCACAAAGGACUACGGAUUUUGGACACCAGUUGCUGCCUCAUGGCCAUACCAGCAUCAAACCCAGGAAGUGAAUGGCAUGAGCCAUGGCAUCUUCUGGAGGCUGGGUAGCCGCUGGAGCUCUGGACCCCAUGUGCCUCCUCAGCCCUCUCAGGGGUCCCACUUCAGGGUUUGGGACGUUGGCAGUUGUGAUGUCCAGGAAGAUGAAUGCUGACAUGGAGUGAUAUGGGUGAUGUUGGGAAGAGGCAUGUGAGAAGACACUACUAAGGAUGGGUAUUCUAACACCUAGUAGGACCACACAAGGCAUCUAGAACAGAUAGGAUGAAUACAAAGACUAGAAAAGUGAUUAACCCAGAAGAAGGUAGAACAGAAGGAACCAAGGAACAAACCGAAUGCUAUAAAUAUAAAACAAAUGAGAAGCUACCGGACUUGUACCCAACUCUAAAACUAACCACACUAAAUGUAAUGAACUAGGUAUCCCUAUUUAAGCCAGGGAUCAUUGGGUUAGGUAAUUCAUGGUUGAUAGGUAGACUUUUUCCAACUGCCCCAAGAGUAGCCCAUGACACCAGAUAUGGAGUCAUUGAAGUGGGGCCCCUGUGUCUACUCUCCUGCUCUCCUACAUGGGGCAACUGGACAUCCCCAGGAGCUAGUUAUCCUGGGUGGUGGUAGCCCUGGAAAUCUUAGUGAGGCCACCAUUAUCCUAAGACCCCAUUCCUUCCUUCCUUCAGAAGACUCCGGGCUGUGGGCUUACCUGUCAUUGGCAACAGGGAGGGCAAUCUCGAACUUGGCAAGGAACUGGAAGUAUUGCUCCUCAGUCUGCUGUGUGAAGCCUGUCCCCACCAGCAGCAUCCUGAGGUCUUCCGCUUGGAUCACCCCAUUCUUUGCCACUGACCGCGAGCCCUUGAUGUUAAAGAUCCUCUGCAGGCAUUCAGAGAGCCAGAUGGGAUCCAGGAAGUAGAGGUUCCUUAGGCCAUGGCUCGUGUCUGGAAAGUGCAGCAGGGUCCCAGUUUCUAUGAGGAAGCUGAUGGCUGCCAAGAGGGAGGGAGGAAGCUGUGUCAGAACCACAUGGGACCAAAGGGGACUCAGGAAGAAACCAAGACUUCUGGCAUGCCAGGCCCAUGAUGACAUUUACUCAUGAUCCUCCUAAAGCAACCCGUGAGGCGCUUCCACAGUUCUGUGUAGGUACUUGCUGAGCUGCAUGCAAAGUGUGAGUGGUCCCAUGUACAUGUUCCUAACCGAGCUCUUAUCCCGUGAGUGUCCCUUCUAUGGUCUAUUGAUUGCCAUGUUAUCUGGGAGGUAAUUUUGCUGUCUAAAAUGACCCUCCAAAACAGGGCUAAAAGGUUGUCUAGUGUUUCUACGUACAAGACUGUGAUUUACAGAGAAAAUAUGUCAUUAGAUAAACAGUGUUGAGGCAGAAAUUAUAUAAAGGCCACUGCAUGACCUAAUAUUUCAGCAAUACCUGUUACAUAAUUAGAUAAGGUGUAUGUGUAUAUUGUUAACUUGAUACAAUCAAGAAUCACGUAGAAGAAUUGCAAUUGAGGAAUGAGCUAGAUCAGUUUGGCCUGUGGGCGUAUCUGUGGGAGACUACCUUAUUAAUUGAUAUAGCCCAUUGUGGGUGGCACCAUUCCCUAGACAGGGAAUCCUAAGUAGUAUAAAAAAGAAGAAGGCUAGCAAGGAACUGAGCAAUCAGCCAGCAGGAGUCCAUUUGUUUCCCUUUCCUCUUGACUGUGGAUGUGAUGUGAUGUGAUGAACUUCCAGGAUUUCUGCUUUGACUUACUCAUAGUGAUGGACUGGAACCUGGAAUUGUAAGCCAAGUCAACCCUCUCCUCCUCUAAGUUGCUGUGGUCAGCAUAUUUUAUCACACCAAAUGAAAGGAAACCAGAACAGAGGCAUAUGUGAAACAAGGUUAUUGACUGCUUCAUUGAUGCCAGUGUGACUAGAAGCAGACAAGAACCUAACCUUAUCUUCCUCCAGGAGCAAUGGUCUGUAUCUGCCAACGCAGUAGCCAUAGCGACAUUUUAGAUGCUAACUACCAUGAACAAUAAGAACUGGUUGUAAUUGUUUAGCCUGGACCAAAGUCCUGGAGGGUGGUGACCAGUUUGACUUUUGCCUGUCGUGCAUCCUCUGCAGAACAGCUGCCAUGUUCUCUGUCCAAGGAAAAAGGGGCAGGUGGAGGGAUGGUAGGGGUGGGGUAGCAAGGAAAAGUGGAGGGAGGCAGCACAUGGGCAGGCAGACUCCAGGCAGUGUUGAGUGCUGUCACGUAAACCUGCUAGCCUGCUGUGCUGAGGGUCCAGGUGGAGAUGUGAUGAACAGGACCCUCACAGAUGUCUCACCCCACCCUCCGCCAGCCUUCCGGUCCCCCAUACCAAUGCCUGGGUACCCACUCCUGGCCUACCAGACUGCAGGUCUUC